AACGAACGCUGGCGGCAGGCCUAACACAUGCAAGUCGAACGCCGUAGCAAUACGGAGUGGCAGACGGGUGAGUAACACGUGGGAACAUACCCUUCGGUUCGGAAUAACUCAGGGAAACUUGAGCUAAUACCGGAUACGUCCGCGAGGAGAAAGAUUCAUCGCCGGAGGAUUGGCCCGCGUCUGAUUAGCUUGUUGGUGAGGUAACGGCUCACCAAGGCGACGAUCAGUAGCNGGUCUGAGAGGAUGAUCAGCCACAUUGGGACUGAGACACGGCCCAAACUCCUACGGGAGGCAGCAGUGGGGAAUAUUGGACAAUGGGCGCAAGCCUGAUCCAGCCAUGCCGCGUGAGUGAUGAA
Molecule: ribosomal RNA, 356 nt
Filed under: uncultured bacterium
Lineage: Bacteria
Description: bacterial SSU rRNA
Rfam family: Bacterial small subunit ribosomal RNA
Source: RNAcentral